UUCGUGAACAUAGCAGACUGCUCAGUAACACGUGGAUAACCUGCCCUUAGGACUGGCAUAACCCCGGGAAACUGGGGAUAAUUCCGGAUAGAUCAUAAAUGCUGGAAUGCUUUAUGAUUGAAAGGUUUCGACCGCCUUAGGAUGGAUCUGCGGCCUAUCAGGUUGUAGUGGGUGUAAUGUACCUACUAGCCUACGACGGGUACGGGUUGUGGAAGCAAGAGCCCGGAGAUGGAUUCUGAGACAUGAAUCCAUGCCCUACGGGGCGCAGCAGGCGCGAAAACUUUACAAUGCGGGAAACCGUGAUAAGGGAACACUGAGUGCUAGCAUUUAUGUUAGCUGUCCACAUGUGUAAAUAGCAUGUGAUAGCAAGGGCUGGGCAAGACCGGUGCCAGCC
This 394-nucleotide ribosomal RNA is filed under the name uncultured archaeon. RNAcentral describes it as "bacterial SSU rRNA". It matches the Rfam family "Archaeal small subunit ribosomal RNA", at positions 69 to 463 of the family's 1478-position model. The record is from RNAcentral.